CGGACGGGUGAGUAACGCGUGGGCAACCUGCCCCAUACAGGGGGAUAACAGCCGGAAACGGCUGCUAAUACCGCAUAAGCGCACAGCGCCGCAUGGCGCAGUGUGAAAAACUCCGGUGGUAUGGGAUGGGCCCGCGUCUGAUUAGCCAGUUGGCGGGGUAACGGCCCACCAAAGCGACGAUCAGUAGCCGGCCUGAGAGGGUGAACGGCCACAUUGGGACUGAGACACGGCCCAAACUCCUACGGAAGGCAGCAG
RNAcentral lists this ribosomal RNA (255 nucleotides) under uncultured bacterium. RNAcentral describes it as "partial 16S ribosomal RNA". It matches the Rfam family "Bacterial small subunit ribosomal RNA", at positions 99 to 354 of the family's 1533-position model. The record is from RNAcentral.